AGUAGUAAUACGACUUGUAAACAAAUAAAAACAAUAUUGUUUCUGUCAACAUACUUGUAUUUAUUAUAUUAUUAUUUUCGAUUUGUCUUUUUAUACAGAUUGUGCAUUUUCGAGUAUUAUAAUUUGUAAUAUUGUAUAUCCAACAUUCGGAGGGAAUGUUUAUCGAUGCGUUCGUGAGGGUAUUUCUGAUAGCUAUUCUCCAUG
This is a non-coding RNA of Cinara cedri, 204 nucleotides long. The record is from the annotation of a GenBank genome assembly. Lineage: Eukaryota; Metazoa; Arthropoda; Insecta; Hemiptera; Aphididae.